GGUGGCUCAGUGGUAGAGUGCUUGCCUUGCAUGCAUGAGAGCCGGAGUUCGAUUCCUCAGCACCA
Dipodomys ordii (Ord's kangaroo rat) is the source of this 65-nucleotide non-coding RNA. The record is from Rfam. NCBI's taxonomy places the organism in Eukaryota, Metazoa, Chordata, Mammalia, Rodentia, Heteromyidae.